Molecule: ribosomal RNA, 164 nt
Filed under: Marlimorimia bahiana
Lineage: Eukaryota; Viridiplantae; Streptophyta; Magnoliopsida; Fabales; Fabaceae
Description: Pseudopiptadenia bahiana 5.8S ribosomal RNA
Rfam family: 5.8S ribosomal RNA
About the family: 5.8S ribosomal RNA (5.8S rRNA) is a component of the large subunit of the eukaryotic ribosome. It is transcribed by RNA polymerase I as part of the 45S precursor that also contains 18S and 28S rRNA. Functionally, it is thought that 5.8S rRNA may be involved in ribosome translocation.
Source: RNAcentral
CGAACGACUCCCGGCAACGGAUAUCUCGGCUCUCGCAUCGAUGAAGAACGUAGCGAAAUGCGAUACUUGGUGUGAAUUGCAGAAUCCCGUGAACCAUCGAGUCUUUGAACGCAAGUUGCGCCCGAAGCCAUCCGGCCGAGGGCACGUCUGCCUGGGUGUCACGC